Molecule: unclassified non-coding RNA, 234 nt
Filed under: soil metagenome
Description: partial contains small subunit ribosomal RNA, internal transcribed spacer 1, and 5.8S ribosomal RNA
Source: RNAcentral
UUUCCGUAGGUGAACCUGCGGAAGGAUCAUUAAAGAGAGCCUCGGCUCCUUUUAUGCUUAUCACCACAUUGAUGUCCUGUCCUUUGUUGCUUCCGUCCUUGAAUGACGGGCCGCGUGCCCGCUUGACGUGGGCGGAGGGUUUUUCAAUACUAUAUAUUCUUGCUUAGAGUAUUUAUUUGUCUGAAUAUGAGGGAAAAUGCUUCAAAACUUUCAACAACGGAUCUCUUGGCUCCU